AGUUUGCCGACUACUCGUGACCUGAACAGCAGCUGAAGGAGAGAGAGCACAGAUGGAUGCCAAAUACUGCAUCAUUGUACUCUUGUUACUUGCCGCUUCCCAGCAAGGAGAUUGCUUUGCCUCUGCAAGAGUCAGAGAUUUCACAAAUACAGGUGUAGAGGGUUACUUUGUAAUCGUAACACAUUUCACAGAUACCAAAGUAGUGGGUUGGUAUGCGUGUGGAACAUUUAGAGAACCAACGAAUACCGAUCAAGUGGGUUGGUUCCUGUGUAAAAGAACAGAUUUCCUAAAUCUCAACCCAAAUGACGACUCUAUGUCUUUCGUAACAGUUUUCACAAAUACCAAUGAAGAGGUUUGGCAUGUGAGCGGAAGCUUUACAGAAUUCACAAAUACUAAUGAAGAGAGUUGGUACGUGUGCAAAAAAUUUAAGGGUUUCACAGAUGCCAAUACUAAGGAUUAUUUUAUCUUCGUGAGACGUUACACAAAUACCAAUGGAGGAGUUUGGUUUGUGUGUAAGAGAGAUGAGUUUUCCAAAUAUAAAUGCGGUGGAGCUGGAGCUGGCCACUGGAGAAUUUGAUGAUGCGUUCACCAUUACUGCAGUGGUCUCUCUCGCUUCUGGUGUGGAUAUUCAUCAGUAUUAAGGUCUGGAAUAUGCAGUCACUAUUGGAAUCGAAAUGUAUACCGGCAACACAGCAAGAAUUAUAUCAGGAAGCAGUGAAGCUGCGGACAAAACUACGUUGACUAUAUCACACUCGAAUGUAAAAAUGGUGGAAGCAUCAGUAUUUACGACCACUAGUGCCACAUGUGUUUUACUCCUGUGUUAACUGAUUCCAAACACUAUGACGUUCACAUUAAAUAUAAUUAUGUUCAUUUAAAUACAUUAUAAUUAAUUUUAAAGUGUUUUUUUACAAUCUGUAUUGUGAAGGCAGUGGAGUGUAAGUGGAGGGAAGUGUAGUGUCUGUAUCUGUAAGUGGAAGAUUUGUGUUUUAUGUCUAUGAACAUCAACUAAAGUCUAGAAUUUUGAGAAACAUCAGAUAGAAAUUUUAAAUUUGUAAAGUGGAAUGGUCUCUAAGGCCAUCUGUUGGGUGUGAACAUUAUCUUAAUACUUUAUUUUGAGUAUUUUAUUUUUUCUGUGUGCUUUAUUUGCCAUCAUUUUGCACAAUAUCACAUACAUCCGAAUUAAACAAAUUGUAGCUGGUUGGGUUUUUCAAUGACAUCGUAAUUAAGUUGUGAGCAUCAAAAGGUAAAUGAAAAACUCUCUUACUAAAAAGGCUGAAAAUAAGACAGUUGCUUAAUGUCUGAAGGAAAUCGAUUUAUUUUUAUUUUAUUUGUACUCUCAUUUUAUGUCAGUGUUCUAGAGAUAUACAAACUGGAAAGCUCAACCGCAGUAAUGAUAGAAAUUGUGCUUCCCAGCCACUAGUAACUCUGUUAAUAACAUUUACAUAAUUUUUAGAAUGACAAUGUAGAGUACUAUAUUUUUUACAUAAUGUAAGUUCUUUAAAAAGGACACAAAUAAAUCUUCCAUUAUUUUCAA
Schistocerca gregaria is the source of this 1534-nucleotide long non-coding RNA. RefSeq lists it as uncharacterized. The transcript has 3 exons. NCBI's taxonomy places the organism in Eukaryota, Metazoa, Arthropoda, Insecta, Orthoptera, Acrididae. The record is from RefSeq and is a predicted model, not a curated record.